This 396-nucleotide ribosomal RNA is filed under the name uncultured bacterium. Its description in RNAcentral is "partial 16S ribosomal RNA". It matches the Rfam family "Bacterial small subunit ribosomal RNA", at positions 523 to 918 of the family's 1533-position model. The record is from RNAcentral.
AUACGUAGGGGGCGAGCGUUGUCCGGAAUGACUGGGCGUAAAGGGCGUGUAGGCGGCGGUGUAAGUCAGGAGUGAAAGUCCCGCAUUCAAUGUGGGAAUUGCUUUGGAUACUGCAGUGCUAGAGUGCGGAAGAGGUAAGUGGAAUUCCCAGUGUAGCGGUGAAAUGCGUAGAGAUUGGGAGGAACACCAGUGGCGAAGGCGACUUACUGGGCCGUAACUGACGCUGAGGCGCGAAAGCGUGGGGAGCGAACGGGAUUAGAUACCCUGGUAGUCCACGCGGUAAGCGAUGAAUGCUAGGUGUGCGGGGACUGACCCCCUGCGUGCCGCAGCUAACGCAAUAAGUAUUCCACCUGGGGAGUACGAUCGCAAGGUUGAAACUCAAAUGAAUUGACGGGG